Molecule: ribosomal RNA, 1916 nt
Filed under: Salmonella enterica
Lineage: Bacteria; Pseudomonadati; Pseudomonadota; Gammaproteobacteria; Enterobacterales; Enterobacteriaceae
Description: partial 23S ribosomal RNA
Rfam family: Bacterial large subunit ribosomal RNA
Source: RNAcentral
GAGCACUGUUUCGGCUAGGGGGCCAUCCCGGCUUACCAACCCGAUGCAAACUGCGAAUACCGGAGAAUGUUAUCACGGGAGACACACGGCGGGUGCUAACGUCCGUCGUGAAGAGGGAAACAACCCAGACCGCCAGCUAAGGUCCCAAAGUCAUGGUUAAGUGGGAAACGAUGUGGGAAGGCCCAGACAGCCAGGAUGUUGGCUUAGAAGCAGCCAUCAUUUAAAGAAAGCGUAAUAGCUCACUGGUCGAGUCGGCCUGCGCGGAAGAUGUAACGGGGCUAAACCAUGCACCGAAGCUGCGGCAGCGACACUGUGUGUUGUUGGGUAGGGGAGCGUUCUGUAAGCCUGUGAAGGUGUGUCGUGAGGCAUGCUGGAGGUAUCAGAAGUGCGAAUGCUGACAUAAGUAACGAUAAAGCGGGUGAAAAGCCCGCUCGCCGGAAGACCAAGGGUUCCUGUCCAACGUUAAUCGGGGCAGGGUGAGUCGACCCCUAAGGCGAGGCCGAAAGGCGUAGUCGAUGGGAAACGGGUUAAUAUUCCCGUACUUGGUGUUACUGCGAAGGGGGGACGGAGAAGGCUAUGUUGGCCGGGCGACGGUUGUCCCGGUUUAAGCGUGUAGGUGUGUGUUCCAGGUAAAUCCGGUUCACUUUAACACUGAGGCGUGACGACGAGGCACUACGGUGCUGAAGCAACAAAUGCCCUGCUUCCAGGAAAAGCCUCUAAGCAUCAGGUAACAUCAAAUCGUACCCCAAACCGACACAGGUGGUCAGGUAGAGAAUACCAAGGCGCUUGAGAGAACUCGGGUGAAGGAACUAGGCAAAAUGGUGCCGUAACUUCGGGAGAAGGCACGCUGACACGUAGGUGAAGUGAUUUACUCAUGGAGCUGAAGUCAGUCGAAGAUACCAGCUGGCUGCAACUGUUUAUUAAAAACACAGCACUGUGCAAACACGAAAGUGGACGUAUACGGUGUGACGCCUGCCCGGUGCCGGAAGGUUAAUUGAUGGGGUCAGCGCAAGCGAAGCUCCUGAUCGAAGCCCCGGUAAACGGCGGCCGUAACUAUAACGGUCCUAAGGUAGCGAAAUUCCUUGUCGGGUAAGUUCCGACCUGCACGAAUGGCGUAAUGAUGGCCAGGCUGUCUCCACCCGAGACUCAGUGAAAUUGAACUCGCUGUGAAGAUGCAGUGUACCCGCGGCAAGACGGAAAGACCCCGUGAACCUUUACUAUAGCUUGACACUGAACAUUGAGCCUUGAUGUGUAGGAUAGGUGGGAGGCUUUGAAGUGUGGACGCCAGUCUGCAUGGAGCCGACCUUGAAAUACCACCCUUUAAUGUUUGAUGUUCUAACGUGGACCCGUUACCCGGGUUGCGGACAGUGUCUGGUGGGUAGUUUGACUGGGGCGGUCUCCUCCUAAAGAGUAACGGAGGAGCACGAAGGUUGGCUAAUCCUGGUCGGACAUCAGGAGGUUAGUGCAAUGGCAUAAGCCAGCUUGACUGCGAGCGUGACGGCGCGAGCAGGUGCGAAAGCAGGUCAUAGUGAUCCGGUGGUUCUGAAUGGAAGGGCCAUCGCUCAACGGAUAAAAGGUACUCCGGGGAUAACAGGCUGAUACCGCCCAAGAGUUCAUAUCGACGGCGGUGUUUGGCACCUCGAUGUCGGCUCAUCACAUCCUGGGGCUGAAGUAGGUCCCAAGGGUAUGGCUGUUCGCCAUUUAAAGUGGUACGCGAGCUGGGUUUAGAACGUCGUGAGACAGUUCGGUCCCUAUCUGCCGUGGGCGCUGGAGAACUGAGGGGGGCUGCUCCUAGUACGAGAGGACCGGAGUGGACGCAUCACUGGUGUUCGGGUUGUCAUGCCAAUGGCACUGCCCGGUAGCUAAAUGCGGAAGAGAUAAGUGCUGAAAGCAUCUAAGCACGAAACUUGCCCCGA